Acanthoscelides obtectus is the source of this 76-nucleotide non-coding RNA. The record is from the annotation of a GenBank genome assembly. Lineage: Eukaryota; Metazoa; Arthropoda; Insecta; Coleoptera; Chrysomelidae.
GCCUCUGUAGCUCAGUGGCAGAGUAUGUACUGGUCUUGUAAACGAGGGGACGUGAUUUCAAUCCUCACAGCAGUCA